RNAcentral lists this ribosomal RNA (944 nucleotides) under uncultured bacterium. RNAcentral describes it as "bacterial SSU rRNA". It matches the Rfam family "Bacterial small subunit ribosomal RNA", at positions 8 to 963 of the family's 1533-position model. The record is from RNAcentral.
AGAGUUUGAUCCUGGCUCAGGACGAACGCUGGCGGUAUGCUUAACACAUGCAAGUCGAACGAGACAAAAGAGAAGUGCUUGCACGGAUCUUUUAGAAAGUGGCGAACGGGUGAGUAACGCGUGGGUAACCUACCCUAUGGAAAGGAAUAGCCUCGGGAAACUGGGAGUAAUGCCUUAUAAGAUAUAUUUGUCGCAUGGCAGAUGUAUUAAACGCUCCGGUGCCAUAGGAUGGACCCGCGUCCCAUUAGCUAGUUGGUGAGAUAACAGCUCACCAAGGCGACGAUGGGUAACCGGUCUGAGAGGGCGAACGGUCACACUGGAACUGAGACACGGUCCAGACUCCUACGGGAGGCAGCAGUGGGGAAUAUUGCGCAAUGGGGGAAACCCUGACGCAGCAAUACCGCGUGAGUGAAGAAGGUUUUCGGAUCGUAAAGCUCUGUUAUUGGGGAAGAAAAAAAGACGGUACCCAACAAGAAAGUCCCGGCUAACUACGUGCCAGCAGCCGCGGUAAUACGUAGGGGACAAGCGUUGUCCGGAUUUACUGGGCGUAAAGGGCACGCAGGCGGUUUUUUAAGUCAGAUGUGAAAGGUACCGGCUCAACCGGUGACAUGCAUUUGAAACUGAAAGACUUGAGUAUUGGAGAGGCAAGUGGAAUUCCUAGUGUAGCGGUGAAAUGCGUAGAUAUUAGGAGGAACACCGGUGGCGAAGGCGGCUUGCUGGACAAAUACUGACGCUGAGGUGCGAAAGCGUGGGGAGCAAACAGCAUUAGAUACCCUGGUAGUCCACGCCGUAAACGAUGAGUGCUAGGUGUUGGGGAGACUCAGUGCCGCAGCUAACGCAAUAAGCACUCCGCCUGGGGAGUACGACCGCAAGGUUGAAACUCAAAGGAAUUGAGGGGGACCCGCACAAGCAGCGGAGCAUGUGGUUUAAUUCGAAGCAACGCG